RNAcentral lists this transfer RNA (77 nucleotides) under Pseudomonas aeruginosa. Its description in RNAcentral is "tRNA-Met". It matches the Rfam family "tRNA". Rfam says of the family: Transfer RNA (tRNA) molecules are approximately 80 nucleotides in length. Their secondary structure includes four short double-helical elements and three loops (D, anti-codon, and T loops). Lineage: Bacteria; Pseudomonadati; Pseudomonadota; Gammaproteobacteria; Pseudomonadales; Pseudomonadaceae. The record is from RNAcentral.
GGCUACAUAGCUCAGUCGGUUAGUGCGCAGCAUUCAUAAUGCUGAUGUCCCAGGUUCAAGUCCCGGUGUAGCCACCA